Molecule: RNA transcript, 1320 nt
Organism: Hibiscus syriacus
Lineage: Eukaryota; Viridiplantae; Streptophyta; Magnoliopsida; Malvales; Malvaceae
Gene name: probable serine/threonine-protein kinase WNK5
Exons: 4
Source: RefSeq, a predicted model, not a curated record
GUAUCUUCAGCGAGUGCUCAAAUCCGGCUCAAAUAUACAAGAAAGUGACUUCAGGGAAGUUGCCAGAGGCAUUUUAUAGAAUCCAAGACGAGGAAGCCCGGAGGUUUAUCGGAAAGUGCCUGGAGAAUGUUUCCAAGAGGUUGCCUGCACAUGAACUCUUGCUUCAUCCAUUUUUGGCCACUAAUGAAGAGACUCUGCAGUCCAUCCCAAGAGUCGAUCCAGGAACUAACUCGUAAAGGCCGAGUCACAGAGCUAGAUCCUUCUCUGCGGAUUGAUCCAACAAGGAGUACUGAUAUGUCGAUAACUGGCACAAUGGGUCCCGAAGACACAAUUUUUCUCAAAGUACAGAUUACAGACAAGGAAGGUCAGGCUCGGAACAUCUAUUUUCCCUUCGACAUAUUGAAUGACACGGCGAUUGAUGUUGCCUUGGAGAUGGUGAAAGAGUUGGAUAUUGAUGACUGGGAGCCGUUGAAAAUUGCUGAUAUGAUAGAAGAGGAAAUCUCUUCACUUGUCCCUACAUGGAAGGAUCGGGGCAUCUCUCAACUUCCAGCACAGCUUUAAGUACGAUGAAGACGAUCACCAAAACGGAAUCCGCCAUCCUUUCUAUGCUACCUUCUCCCAUUCUUCCUCUGAAGCAGAAUAUUGUCUAGAGAAAAGUAUCUCUUCUAAUAAUUGCAAUUGGCCCCAAGAUAUUUUCAGCAAUGAUGAUGCAAGUUCCAGUUGCUCUAUGAACUCAUUCCGUCACGCUAGCAUGAAUUAUGAAGGCGAAUUUGAUUCGAGUCUGCAUCAAUGGGAGCAACCCUGCAUUCCAAAGACCCUCAAAUCUACACGAUUUUGUCCGUCAGAUAGCAUGAGUGCUUACUGCUACAAACAGUGCUACACACAACUUGAUUCAUGGAGGUCUUCUCACGUCAACGGCCAUAGGAAGCUAACAAAGAUUCGUUCACUUGUGGACAUACGCAGAAAAUUGCUGCACCAGUCAGUAAUGGCGGAGAUAAACAAGAGACGCCUAUUCAAGACCAUUGGAGCAGUGGAGAACAUCGGAUAUCAGGAGCCGGGGGAGGUUUCAGGCAAGGCAUAUCUUGAAAACGGCAUAAAGGGAAGGAUUUUUUAGAUAAUGAAGAAGAUUUCGUGGGAGAUUUAGGUGGUUAAUAACUUGAUUUCUCUGUUAAUAUGCUAGUUGAUUUCAAUAGUGAUGCUGUACAAAUUCUGAAUCCUCAAUCUGGUUUAGUGUAAUAACUAAUGCCAGGUUGCAGACAUGGUCAAGACCAUGAACGACUAUUCCCUAAAACUUCACUAUAUUUUUGGAGAAGAAAUGUA